AGAUUGAGCGCUGGCGGCAGGCCUAACACAUGCAAGUCGAGCGGUAGAGAGGUGCUUGCACCUCUUGAGAGCGGCGGACGGGUGAGUAAUGCCUAGGAAUCUGCCUAGUGGUGGGGGAUAACGUUCGGAAACGGACGCUAAUACCGCAUACGUCCUACGGGAGAAAGCGGGGGACCUUCGGGCCUCGCGCCAUUAGAUGAGCCGUAGGUCGGAUUAGCUAGGUUGGUGA
Molecule: ribosomal RNA, 229 nt
Filed under: uncultured soil bacterium
Lineage: Bacteria
Description: partial 16S ribosomal RNA
Rfam family: Bacterial small subunit ribosomal RNA
Source: RNAcentral